GUAUUGUAUUGCGUUAAACGCGGUAUGCAUUCCAUGAGACUUUAUUACAGAGUGUGUGUAAAGAUAUAGAACCACAGCGGGGGGACAGAGUCCCCUAAGCCAUAGAACUACAGAGGGUGCACAGGUGUGAGUGGAUGUGCAAACAGAGCGUGCACAUGCCCCCAUUUGAGGACCAGCAACAACUCGUGUUGACAAUUCAGUAAUGAUCCUUCCGCAGGUUCACCUACGGAAA
RNAcentral lists this unclassified non-coding RNA (232 nucleotides) under uncultured fungus. Its description in RNAcentral is "sequence contains ITS1". Lineage: Eukaryota; Fungi. The record is from RNAcentral.